GAUAUUACCUACAGAAAAAUUCAGUAGGUACCUAAUCAGUACUCUAAACUCCUUUGCCUCACCUUUUCAUCGUACCCCUACCUUGAAUGAACCCUACCAUCCAUAUUCUCCCCUUUGAUAAUGGAACAGCUGACCACUAUUAGAGAAAUGUGCAUAGCCAUCUGUAUUCUAUUACUAAAUUUCUUUUUUUUUUUUUUUUGGAGGCACUCUUACUCUGGCACCCAGGCUGGAAUGCGGUAGUGUGAUCACUACUGCAGCCUCGAUGUCCCGGGCUCAAGUGAUCCUCCCACUUCAGCCUCCUGAGUUGCUGGGACUACAGGUGCACACCACCAUGCCUGGCUAAUUUUUUAAUUUUUUUGUGUAUAUACAUCUCACUAUGUUGCUCAGACUGCCUGUAAUCCCAGCACUUUGGGAGGCCGAGACGGGUGGAUCACGAGGUCAGGAGAUCAAGACCAUCCUGGCUAACAGGGGUUUUACCAUGUUGGUCAGGCUGGUCUCGAACUCCUGACCUCAUGAUCCUACCGCCUCGGCCUCCCAAAGUGCUGGGAUUACUGUCAUGAACCACCACACCAGGCCUAAUCAGUUUUAUUUUAAUUAUGCUUAUAUGUACACAGCCUGUGUCAUCUCGAUUUUCUAGGGAAGACAAUUGGUCUGAUUUUUUCCUCAGAAACCUUUUCCAUGACUUCAUUUUUUAUUACAGUGCUUCUGAAUUUUUGGGUCUCCUAUCCAUGGAUAAACCAUGAUAACCAUGGUUUGAUGGUUAAUUAACUUUCGUUCUAUACAUAUUUUUAUAGAACUAAUUAGUUAACAUUCAUUCUAUACAUAUUUUGGAAACCAUCUUAGAUUCAGGUUAGGUUAUGGUGCUAUUUAAGGAAAACCAGUAGAACAACUUCUCUCUGGCCCCAGAUUGGCCAAGGGAUGACCCACAUACAUUAUUUUGUUUUGUUUUUUAAUGACUUGUUCUUAAAGGUAUUGCAUGUGUUAUUGUUUUCCCAGCUAUGGUGAUUACUAGCUAGAAGCACAGUAGUCUCUAAACAAUAACAGGAAAAGGUUCUUGAAAAAGAAAAUACACAAAUUAAUUCCUUUUUGGUGCCGAGAUAAUCAUUGUUGGUAAUUUGGCACUCCCGUUGUCCCCAAGUCCUAGUAAGGUAAAAAAAUAUUGGUAUACAUUUAUAAAAUAUCUAUUCAUGGGGCAAAAUUCCAUAAAUAUUUAUAUGCUAACCAAAUGAUUAUGUACUGAAUACCAACAGGAAGACUAUGCAGGUGCUUUUCAGAUAAAUAUAAAUUACAAUAGCACUGGAAUUUUUCUAAGGGCAGAUAAUAGAAGUGUAAGCUAUGGAAAAGCCAACUGUACCAACUGUUCCAGUUGGCUCAGGACAGGGGUUUCCUGGGACACUGAAUUUUCAGUACCCACCCUGGGAAGUCCCAGACAAGCUGGG
Molecule: long non-coding RNA, 1439 nt
Filed under: Macaca mulatta (Rhesus monkey)
Lineage: Eukaryota; Metazoa; Chordata; Mammalia; Primates; Cercopithecidae
Description: lncRNA (ENSMMUG00000063602.1)
Source: RNAcentral